RNAcentral lists this microRNA precursor (86 nucleotides) under Medicago truncatula (barrel medic). Its description in RNAcentral is "MIR2617 microRNA precursor family". It matches the Rfam family "MIR2617 microRNA precursor family". Lineage: Eukaryota; Viridiplantae; Streptophyta; Magnoliopsida; Fabales; Fabaceae. The record is from Rfam by way of RNAcentral.
AAGUUGUGUGACAUGCCGUUUGGUGAUAAACUCUGAUAUUAUAUUUAGUAAUAAAGUGAUUUUGGGAAACGGGGUGUUACAGGUUU